Arabidopsis thaliana (thale cress) is the source of this 1767-nucleotide long non-coding RNA. RefSeq annotates it as other RNA. NCBI's taxonomy places the organism in Eukaryota, Viridiplantae, Streptophyta, Magnoliopsida, Brassicales, Brassicaceae. The record is from RefSeq. The transcript has a single exon.
AAGAGAACACAAAUGACCACAUAGAUAUUAUCAUCACAACCCCAUGAAACUGUACAUCUAAAACAUUACUGAAAUGCAAAAAAAUAUCCAAAACAAUAUUUAAGUAUCACAAAACAUCAUUUAAAAUAAUACUCUAGAAAAUAGAGAAUAAAAGUAAAAAUCCAAAUCAAACCGGAGUAGGUGUAGUAUUAGCACCAGAAGGAGAAGGAGAUCGUGGCUCAACUCUCCUAAGCUGAAUGGCUUUGUGAGACUCAUCAUCAUCAAAGUACAUAUAAGCAAAACCACCGUGCCUGGUCAUAUCCAUACCGGCCAUCUCAUCCUCGGACGAUAUCCGCAACAAUUUCAUUUUCUUGAGGAUGAAGAAAAGUGUCCCCAUGGUCGCACUUACCCAACCCGUGAUCACAAUGAUCUGAAUCAGCUGAGCUCCAAGUAGUUUUCCUCCACCGCCCAUAAACAAACCGUGUGGCCUUCCGGGUUUGUUGCCGUAAAUCUGGUUCAAGUACUUUUCUUGAGCGAAGAGAGCCGUGAAUAUUAGUCCCCACGCACCGCAACCACCGUGUAGUUGUGCUGCCUCAAGAGGGUCGUCGUAUUUGAGCUUCUCAGCGAGCUUGUUGCAUCCGAGGAGGACUAGGGCCGCCACGAACCCGCAGAUGAUCGCAGCCCAUGGCUCAACGACAGAGCAGCCACCAGUUAUGGCUGCAAACCCUCCGAGGAGGCCGUUGCAUACAUCAGUGACGUUCCAAUGUCCCGAGAGUAGACGUUUCCCAAAUAGGGUUGUCAGCGCCGCGGUGCAGCCAGCUAACGUUGUUGUGACAGCUGUCCGUCCGACCGCGCUCCACUGGCCGUUGUAUGUGCCUGUCUCGUACGUGACUAGGAUCUUGUUGAAGGAACCGGGGUUAAAUCCGUACCAUCCAAACCAGAGGAGGAAUGUUCCAAGGACAACAAGUGACGCCGAGUGGCCACGAAGAGCGAUGGCACGGCCUCCGUUAUCGAACCGGCCAAGUCGUGGACCUUCGAUGAGCGCACCCCAGAGUCCAGCGAUACCUCCGACCAUAUGAACAACACCGGACCCAGCGAAAUCUAUCGCUCCGGUGCUGAAAAGCAAAUCUCCAUCGGUACGGAACGGGCUGGCCCAUCCAUCAACUGACCAGAACCAGUGAGAGACGACCGGGUAAACAAACCCGGUUAAGAAAGAGGAAUAGAUUAGGUAAGCCACGAACUGUGUCCGUUCAGCGAUCGAGCCACUUGUGAUUCCAGCCGCAGCGAUUGCAAAGGCCCAUUGGUAGAGAAAGUUGGAGUAGUCAGCAGAGGCCGUGGGGAUGUCUUUGAGACCAAAGUAGUGUUUACCGAUGAAACCAUUGGACGGAGAUCCAAAGGCAAAGGCGUAGCCAAACAGAUAAUAGAAGAGACCACCGGCUGCAGCGUCAAGGACGUUGGUAAGCAUGAUGUUCAUAGUAUUCUUGGCUCUCACGGAACCGGCACAGAGCAUAGCGAAGCCAAGCUGCAUAGAGAAGACAAGGUAGGCGGAGAAGAGAAGGUAAGUGUUGUCUAUAGCGAAAGCGGUGUCGAUAAAUUUGUUGUUGACGUCGCCUAACUGGCCACAGAUGUAGUUGGCCGCCGCCGUGGCAUUAGGACCCAACAGGACAGCGAGAUCGGUGGCCGAGCAAGACAUGUUGAGAGUUUAGAGAAGAAGAUGAAACAGAGAGGCUGAGAAAGAAAGUGUUUUGUUUCUCUGUUUAUAUAAAAGAAGGAAGCUAAAGGCCUAGG